This 417-nucleotide ribosomal RNA is filed under the name uncultured bacterium. RNAcentral's name for it is "bacterial SSU rRNA". It matches the Rfam family "Bacterial small subunit ribosomal RNA", at positions 355 to 786 of the family's 1533-position model. The record is from RNAcentral.
UCGGGAAUAUUGCGCAAUGGAGGAAACUCUGACGCAGUGACGCCGCGUGCAGGAAGAAGGUUUUCGGAUUGUAAACUGCUUUAGACAGGGAAGAAAGAAAUGACGGUACCUGUAGAAUAAGCUCCGGCUAACUACGUGCCAGCAGCCGCGGUAAUACGUAGGGAGCAAGCGUUAUCCGGAUUUAUUGGGUGUAAAGGGUGCGUAGACGGGUAUACAAGUUAGUAGUGAAAUCCCUCGGCUUAACUGAGAAACUGCUACUAAAACUAUAUAUCUUGAGUACUGGAGGGGAAAGCGGAAUUCCUAGUGUAGCGGUGAAAUGCGUAGAUAUUAGGAAGAACACCGGUGGCGAAGGCGGCUUUCUGGACAAGAACUGACGUUGAGGCACGAAAGUGUGGGGAGCAAACAGGAUUAGAUACC